GACGAACGCUGGCGGCGUGCCUAAUACAUGCAAGUCGAACGCUGAAGGAGGAGCUUGCUUCUCCGGAUGAGUUGCGAACGGGUGAGUAACGCGUAGGUAACCUGCCUGGUAGCGGGGGAUAACUAUUGGAAACGAUAGCUAAUACCGCAUAAGAGUAGAUGUCGCAUGACAUUUGCUUAAAAGGUGCAACUGCACCACUACCAGAUGGACCUGCGUUGUAUUAGCUAGUUGGUGAGGUAACGGCUCACCAAGGCAACGAUACAUAGCCGACCUGAGAGGGUGAUCGGCCACACUGGGACUGAGACACGGCCCAGACUCCUACGGGAGGCAGCAGUAGGGAAUCUUCGGCAAUGGACGGAAGUCUGACCGAGCAACGCCGCGUGAGUGAAGAAGGGUUUCGGAUCGUAAAGCUCUGUUGUAAGAGAAGAACGAGUGUGAGAGUGGAAAGUUCACACUGUGACGGUAUCUUACCAGAAAGGGACGGCUAACUACGUG
This 495-nucleotide ribosomal RNA is filed under the name uncultured bacterium. RNAcentral describes it as "partial 16S ribosomal RNA". It matches the Rfam family "Bacterial small subunit ribosomal RNA", at positions 28 to 507 of the family's 1533-position model. The record is from RNAcentral.